Molecule: ribosomal RNA, 253 nt
Filed under: uncultured bacterium
Lineage: Bacteria
Description: partial 16S ribosomal RNA
Rfam family: Bacterial small subunit ribosomal RNA
Source: RNAcentral
UACGUAGGGUGCGAGCGUUGUCCGGAAUUACUGGGCGUAAAGAGCUCGUAGGUGGUUUGUCGCGUUGUUCGUGAAAACUCACAACUCAAUUGUGGGCGUGCGGGCGAUACGGGCAGACUGGAGUACUGCAGGGGAGACUGGAAUUCCUGGUGUAGCGGUGAAAUGCGCAGAUAUCAGGAGGAACACCGGUGGCGAAGGCGGGUCUCUGGGACGGUACUGACGCUGAGACGCGAAAGCGUGGGGAGCGAACAGG